Cervus elaphus (red deer) is the source of this 254-nucleotide long non-coding RNA. RefSeq lists it as uncharacterized. The transcript has 4 exons. NCBI's taxonomy places the organism in Eukaryota, Metazoa, Chordata, Mammalia, Artiodactyla, Cervidae. The record is from RefSeq and is a predicted model, not a curated record.
GAAGUGACGGCCUGGGUCACGGAGCUUGCGUUCAGGUUAGCAGACUGAAGGAGCCUAGCUGUGCUAGGAGUCAAGGGGCUCCAGGAACCAGGAGGCGAAGUUGGAGGUCUGAGUCUGUGUCCUGACAUCACAGGAGUGCCAGGAGUCAAGGGGACUGACCACUGACGAGGAGCUCCCCUGUAACACGCUAGAGCAGCCCUCAAGGAAGACCGGUCAGGGGUCUCCAUUUUCCCCCUGCCACACCCCUAGUGGGC